CCCUGGUGAAAAAAAAGUCCAAAUAACAAUUACAAUAUAAAUGUGUUGGAUGGGGGCUAAUACACAAUAAUUAGCGCAAAUUGUACGUAGCUAUCUCUCUAUGACGAAAAAUUAUAUCGGCAGAGUAUCACUGCGAUUUAGUAUUCAAGAAAUGAUCUCCGACACUCAAGAAGACAUGUUUUCCCAGAAUCACCUCGACUGGAGGCUGAUUUUCAAUGCACUUGACAGUUAUCUUUCCCUUUCCUUGUUGAAACUCCGAUUUGAGGUUAUGAUGAUCCCUCAUCAGGAGGUAAGUUCGUAAGCCUUGAGAAUACUGUGUGUUUCCUCCAUAUAAAGCAGUGAUGGCAUCUGCAUUGAACACUAGACUUGGUCUUGCUAAGGUGAUCACAAAGGACAAGUUUGAGAUUCCAUGGAAACUGUCUUCAUCAAUAGUUAUCGCAUGUGAUGGGAUCAGUUCAGCUGGAAGCAAAGGAGAUCCAAUGGCGUCUUUAAUAUAUGAUUCCUGAGACUCCAAAAUCUGCUUAGAGACUUUUUCAUCAUUAUCCAAAGACUUGAAGAAGACCUCUACCAUGUCAGUGGGUUCAAGCGCUGCUUUCUUUCUCAGCUUCUGGAUCCUAUUCACAACCUCUCGAGCAACUCCAGCCUCAAAGAGUGAAUCAUCAGUACGCAAAUCCAGUAUCACUAAAACAUCACCAUCCCCUGCUGCAUCCAUUUCAUCCUCUUUCCUGUUAUCAGGACGUUUGAAACCCCUAACAAUCUUGAUAUCAGUAAGCUUCAAAGCGUGUGAAGCAAUAGUAAGUUCUCCUGCUUUCUCAAAAGCAAUUAUAUCUGCGGUUGACAUGGCCUUAACUUCUUUGGCAACAACGCCCAUCGACUUCCCCAACCUUCUUCCCAACACACUGAAAUCUGGUUCUGCGCGCAAAGAAGCAUACUUCAACGUGUCAUUGCAUGGGACCAAAGAUUUAAUGUUUAGCUCCUCGAGCACAUACUCUCUUAAUUUGCCCGCAAUAUCAUCAAGGAAUUCUGAAUCUGGAUGUACAACCACCAUUUCCCUGAGUGGAGUUUUAAGAGGUUUGUUGUGACGCUCACGAAUGUUUCGUGCAAGGUCAAUAAGGGUCAUCAUCCUAUUAACACUCUGCUCAAUACGCUCCCAUCUCUGCCCUUCCACUGUAGGAUAGCUGCAAUAGUGAAUGCUCUCCUCUGAUCCUUUAGAAACUUUCCGCAAAUUUUGGUAAAGAACCUCAGUGAAAAAAGGAGUUAAUGGUGCCAUAGCUUUACAAGCAGUCAGCAGCACAUAGUACAGAGUUGAAAGAGCAGUUCUGCAAUCUCCUUCACCAGUACGGCCUUUUAGUCUCUUCCGAUUGAACCGCACAUAAAUAUUUGUUAAAUUAUCAAGAAAUUUUAGGAGAUAUGGAACCACCGUGUACAAUCUAUAAGCAUCCAUUUCCUUCCGGACGAAAUGCACUAAGCUCUGAGUUGCAGAAUUGAUCCAUUGGUCCAAGACAUUCGAAGAACUCUGCAAGGUUUUCUGAUCAGAAGGAAUGAAUGGUCCAAACCCAUCAAUUUCAAGUCUUUUUGCAUUCUGAACAAGGAA
Molecule: unclassified non-coding RNA, 1594 nt
Filed under: Hevea brasiliensis (rubber tree)
Lineage: Eukaryota; Viridiplantae; Streptophyta; Magnoliopsida; Malpighiales; Euphorbiaceae
Source: RNAcentral